This 468-nucleotide ribosomal RNA is filed under the name uncultured bacterium. Its description in RNAcentral is "partial 16S ribosomal RNA". It matches the Rfam family "Bacterial small subunit ribosomal RNA", at positions 28 to 507 of the family's 1533-position model. The record is from RNAcentral.
GACGAACGCUGGCGGCGUGCUUAACACAUGCAAGUCGAACGGAAGGGCCCUGCUUUUUUGGGGUGCUCGAGUGGCGAACGUGUGAGUAACACGUGAUUCACCUGCCCUUGACUUUGGGAUAACUUCAGGAAACUGGUGCUAAUACCGGAUAGGAGCUCCUUCUGCAUGGUUGGGGUUGUAAAGUUUCGGCGGUUGGGGAUGGACUCGCGGCUUUUCAGCUUGUUGGUGGGGUAGUGGCUUACCAAGGCUUUGACGGGUCGCCGGCCUGAGAGGGUGACCGGGCAAAUUGGGACUGAGAUACGGCGCAGACUGCUACGGGAAGCAGCAGGGGGGAAUAUUGAACAAGGGGCGGAAGCCUGAUGCAGCAAAGCCGCGUGCGGGAGGAGGGACUUCGAGUUGUAAACCGCUUUCGCCUGUGACGAAGCGUGAGUGACGGUAAUGGGUAAAGAAGCACCGGCUAACUACGUG